UUGCCGUCUUUUCAAUUAACAUUAUAUAUUGCCUACUUUGAAUUUCUAUUGCAGAUAUUAUGUCACACCAUUUGGUGAAGCUUCGGUAGAACGGUAGCACUACCGUUUCAAUUUUUUUUUGAAAUUCAAAAUCACUAAAGUAUAUCUCUUUUGGAUUUCAAAUUUUCAUUUAAUUACAAUGAAUUCUCGCCUCAAAUCUAGUGCCAAGAAGUCUAAAUUGGAAUCUUUUCUCUCUUUGCUCACAUGGAGUUUCUCCAUUUUUUCUUUUUCUUGCUGCACAACAUCCCAACCAUUUUGGGUAUUAAUUUGAAACAAAUCUGCUCAAAGUCUCAAGCAAAUCUGAAACAAAUUUACUCAAAUAUCGCUCAUUAAAUUAUGAACGUAUUUUACUGUUCGAAACCUCACGCUCUUAAUUUCAAACGUUAGAGGUAAAAAUCCCGCCCAUGAACCCUACUUCUUCACCUAUAAAUACUUGCAUUUGAAAUAUACUGGAAAAAGAGCUUUUGGAGCUGUUGCACCUCUCUUUAAACCCACAAGCUUCGGCCCCCUUCUUUAACCUUAAGCCCUAGAGCCGCCCACUUUCACCCUAAAGUCGAGAGUUUUCAGCCACCUCUGUUAGUGCAUUUCCUUUCCUCUAAUUAAAAAACAAAGUUCUCUAGCUCUCUUUGUAUUUUUAGCCAUUACAAUGGUUUAUUUGCUUAUUCCGGUGACUAACAAUCGUCUAAGGUAGCGAGUUCGAGGUCGGAGUUCGAUAUUGCAUCUAAGACCCGUCUCAGUUUGCUGUCUUGUAAAAGGUUCGUAUCUUCUCCUAUCACUCUCGUUUUGAUUCUGUUUUUUUGAUGUCUGAUGCGUGUUUGUUGCGAGGAUUGUUAGCUUCUAUUAAGCUUUUAUGUACAUGUUUGUUUAAGGGAAUGAUCUGUGACUAAAGUUGUUAGCAGUAAUCCUGUAAGGAGAUUAUGUUCUGGUGUGUAUUGUUAAAAGCAUGCCCGACAUAUAUUUGAUGAAAUGCUCACAUGAAAAUACUUUUUUCCUUUUGCAUACUUCUCUAUUAGAUGCCAUAAUUUUAAGAAGGAUUUUAUCAUGAGCUAGUUGCCCUGCAAUAGAUUUAUUUGCCAUUGUGAUUCAAGACCUUUUUCCUAAAUAUCGUGUUUAAAAUUUCAAAAAAUUUGUUUAAGAAUAGAUUUAUUUAAAUGCACACUGUUAAGAGAAGACUUGAUUUACUUUAGUAUUAGGUAUCCAAAAUUCUUUCUUUAGGAAACAUAGUUAUAGAACUUUUGUGCCUAUUUCUUUGUACUAGUUAGUAUUUGGAUUUAAAAAUGUCGAUGACUUUGUUAAAAUAAAAUUUACGUCUUGAUGAAAUGUGUUCAUGUUGCUGUGUGAUUAUCACUGGAAGUUUAUAUUUUUGUCAUUUGAGAGUUUUUGCUACUAGUCUAAAUAAAUAGCUGGAAAUAUUUAUCUUUCCUAUAGUUGUGUGUUUGUCUAAUGACAAGAAGUAUGGCUAGAAUUUCAUAAAACAAUUUGACACUAGGACGGCUUUGCAUAUUUUAUUCUUGAUAUAUUGUUAAGAAUCAAGUUCCACUCUCUAAUCCUUCUUAUCCUUGCAUAUGUUAAUUGAACUCGUACGUUAUUUUGCUAAUUUUUUAUUUCUCUCUUCCUUUACAAGUACACUUUGAAGCAUAAUGGAGUCUUAAUGCUAGACUCCAAUACCCGCAUAUGGAGUCUUCGAGACUCGUAAAGAUGGAGUCUCAUCACCACCAGAUAGAGUCAAUACACGACAUAUAUCCUUAGAAUGUACUGGAUAGCAGAAAAACAAGCGAAACGCUUGGGGGCGCCUAUGACGUCCUUCUUUUUGUUCCUACCACUUAUUUUAUCUUAAUAUUUGUAAUUUUCGAUUUGCUUUUUUUGUGUUUUCUUAAUUUUUAAAAUUUUAUGUUGGAGCCUAUUAUUAUUAUAUAAGAAAUAGCUGAGUUUUAUUUAAUCACUUAGUAUUCUCACCUUAUUUAUGAGUAUCGUACUUAUUUUAUCACUAG
This 2030-nucleotide long non-coding RNA is filed under the name Nicotiana tabacum (common tobacco). Its description in RNAcentral is "long non-coding RNA (NTAB_LNC014490)". Lineage: Eukaryota; Viridiplantae; Streptophyta; Magnoliopsida; Solanales; Solanaceae. The record is from RNAcentral.